GAUGAAGAACGUAGCGAAAUGCGAUAAGUAAUGUGAAUUGCAGAAUUCAGUGAAUCAUCGAAUCUUUGAACGCACCUUGCACCCUUUGGUAUUCCGAAGGGUAUGCUCGUUUGAGUGUCAUUGUACUCUCACACUUCUAAUUCCUUUCGGGAUUGGGAGCGGUGGACUUGGGUGUUGCUGCUUUAGUUGUGGCUCACCUCAAAUAAGUUUGUGCAACUCUUGGUUGGACAUAGUACGGCGUGAUAAGUGUCUUCGCCGGCGCCUCUGUAAGGAGGGUGGCCGAUCGGGAGCUCUGUGCUUCAAACCGUCUUCGGACAAUCUUUGACAACUUGACCUCAAAUCGAGUAGGACUACCCGCUGAACUUAAGCAUAUCAAUAAGCGGAGGA
RNAcentral lists this unclassified non-coding RNA (387 nucleotides) under soil metagenome. RNAcentral describes it as "partial contains 5.8S ribosomal RNA, internal transcribed spacer 2, and large subunit ribosomal RNA". The stretch from base 1 to 120 matches the Rfam family "5.8S ribosomal RNA", at positions 35 to 154 of the family's 154-position model. The record is from RNAcentral.